AGGUGGCAGACGACGUGAAGAAGAUGAUGUUGAUGAUGAUGGAGAAGCGCCAUGAUCAGAGCCGUCGUUGCUCGCCGAUUUCUUCAGAAGAUUCUGGAGAUAUGAUCCAGGCGUGUAGUUCAUUUUUGCAGAACUAUUCGGUUAACACGC
This is a non-coding RNA of Caenorhabditis elegans, 150 nucleotides long. Lineage: Eukaryota; Metazoa; Nematoda; Chromadorea; Rhabditida; Rhabditidae. The record is from Ensembl.